UGCCUCAACCUCCCAAAGUGCUGGGAUUACAGGUGUGAGCCAGAGUACUCGGCCAAAAAAAUAAUUUUUCAGUCAACUAGUUAACCAAAAAUCACCCCCAUACUCAUGUACAUUUUUUCAUGAAUUUGUUCAUUUCUAUUGGUAUACAUUUCCUCAUUUCAGUAGAUAAUGUGUAUUUGAACUUUUAAACUUAUCUUCAUGGCAGAAAGUGGUCAAAGUCACGUCUCUCAGCUUCACUGGUGUAGGUAGAGCAGGCUGUGUGAGCUUGGCCUGUUUGAAUGAAGCUUGAUUUUUAGGGAAUCUCCCCAGUGAGAGUCACACAGGAGAUGCUGAAGCCCCUGAUGACAGGGCCCCAAAAGGGUGUGUAGAAGUCGUUCCAGAAGAAGACUUACAAAGAGGAAAUCAUGACUAUUUUUAAUUGUAGCAUUUUAAUAUUGACAUUUUAAAUGAUCUCUAUGAAAAAGAAUGUGUGAUUAAUAGAAUAGAGUAAUUUGGGAAAAAUUGAGUCUAUUUCACCCCAAAAAUAGGCUUUUAAUCAAGUAAUAAAUCCUUUAAAACAGAUGCUAAAUGUAGUAUCAGCAUGAUUAGAUUCUAGUGUACUGACACGGUCUUGAAUACACUAAGAAACGGCUGUUUGUUUAGAAGAGUUUCAAAACAUUUGGGAGGCAGGAAGGCACUCUUCCAUUGACCCUCAGUGUGCAUUUCAGUUCCAUUUUGAGUUGAUUGUUUUGUGUUGCUGCCCGAUGCCUCUAGUACGAAGCCAAGGUCUCCAUAUCUCAUGCCUUUCCAGCUCCCCUCCUCUGCCAUCCAUCUUCCACUCAGGGGAAUAGCCCAGUAUCAACUCAGUCCAUUCUUGUAUAUCAACCACCUCCAUACACCACAUCCAGCAAAGCUCCCUGAGUGACUCACAGUCACCAACCACCGGUGCACUGAUCUUUCCUCUGUGUCCUUCCAGCUCGUCCUGAGAAUGGCCUGUUUUUAAGAUACUCACCACAAUGCAAAGAUGAAGAUGAUGAUGAUGAUGAUGGUGAUGUUGAUUGUGAUGAUGAUGAUGAUGAUGAUGAUGAUGUCCAGGUAAGAUCCCCCUGUUUGUCUUCUACAUCAAUGUUGCUUUCCUGAUUCUUUACGUCUCAAUUAAUUUUGAUUUGAAAACCUGGCAAUGUACAUUAUGUACACUGUACACUAUUGUCUUUGUGGGGCUGGAAUUCAGUGAGCGUGUCUUCCCAACUGAUACAUGCUAUGCUGCUUUUAAAUGACAGUAUCCAAUAUCAAUUGGAAUACUGAGGCAUUUUCCACAAUACCAGUUUUCCUCCUUGGAUGAAGCAUUGUGCGUUUGCAUAUCAAAUUAAAUUUAAAGAUAAGAGCUUGGAAAGGAAACGGUAUGUACCAUGAAAUAACUCACUUCUCGAGGGAAUAACUUGCUGGCUUCAUUGUAUAGAAACCUGAUUCUUGAUUCCUGCUGGGAAAGAGACUUGGGAUUCUCGUGAAAGUGAUUUUGCCAGUAUAGACCUCUGGCCCAAGAAGCUGUAGGAAGACUUGACGCUGGAGAGUAUUAGUGACGAGGAGACUCAUCCAGAGAUAGGAUUUCACCAUUUUGGCCAAGCUGGUCUGAAACUCCUGACCUCAAGAGGUCCACCCAACUCGGUCUCUGAAACUGCUGGAAGUACUGGUGUGAGCCACAGCACAUGGCCUCAUUGCAUCUUCUAGGCAUUCUUUGAAAAAGAAUGUGUUGACUGCAGGACUGGGCAGAGGACCUGAAGACAUGAGGUUGAUGCACAGGUCAAAGAGAAGAUUCUCACCAUCGCUGAUGCACACAAAAGUUGUGGACUGCAGUCCCUGCCCAUGGAGGUGCGCUGCAGACAGAUGCAGCAGCAGAGGCCUGGCUUCCUGAGGAAUUGCUGCCAGUUUGAGGAAGGAAGAAAGUCCCACCUACAAUGACCACCCGCCAGCCUGGAGGAAGCUCCAUGCCAGCAGCAUUGACCAGCGUGGGAGCCAGAUCCCUGCUAAUGCUGCAGCUCAUCAUCCCCGCUCAGAAGCCCAGCAGCCAUUGCCACAUCCCAUUUCCAGGACCUCCUGUCCCCGUGCCCCCACGCGCCCAUGGACCCACACACCUUUCCUCCUGUUUGCCCAAAGUAGGCAUGGAGGGAAUUUUUCAAGUGCACUUUUUGUAGGUAAGUCAAAACAUUACAAAAUAACCACUGCACACCAGGUCCAAUGCCCUUCCAAACUCACUCUUUUCUCAGACCCUUAAACACUUGUGCCGCAUCUCCCAGACUCCACUGUACCUUGAUCAGCAGGUCCCUCUUCACUGCAGUGUCCUUUUUGCAGAGUUCUUUUAGAUAUUUUGUGCUCUUGCUAUUGACAGAGGAAAGAAAAAAGGGUAAAUUUGGGAAUCACGGGGGAGAUUUGUGAGUUCCAAUCCCUUUUGUUUGAAAACUCAAUGAAUCUCGGCUUCCUGCGUGAGAGUUUCCAGUGGGGUCGUCUGAUGACAAGGGCUCCAGAGGACCAGGGUGUGACUGUCAUGCUCCUCCCCUGGCCCAUCUCCACUUCACAUGAGCCCCUGCGUGUUCACAGUUAGCUUCCAGCUGGACACAGUUCCACUGCUGGGUACAAACACCUGAAAGCCUCCAAUUGGCUCCAGUCUGUUCCUGAUGGUUAAAAAACCUUCCUCCUGAGUUAGAAAUCCUUGCCUAGGAGUCCAGGGCAGCUUAGUGAGCACACCCACCAGCCCAUCCCUACCUCCACCGUCCCUGUUCUCCAAGAAGCUUUCAGAGUCGUUGAGGGCACAUGGGGAGACCUAUGGGUCCCUAGGUCAACUCUGGUGCUCCCGUGGAGGGAGCUCCUCACCUGGACACUCCUGCCCAUGUCUUGUGUAGCCGAUGUAUUGGGUUGCUGCGCAGAGCAGAGACGAUGGCGUGCACUGAGGAGAAGUUGUUGAGGCGUAGGCACUCCUGGAGAGGGAAGAGUGAGCUGUGAGGUCCAGAGUUGGAGUCCGACCCACUUCAGCCUCAGCCCCCUCUGCUGAGAUCUCCCUUCCUGAAUGAAGCAGAGGCCCAGGGAGCCUCAGGAGGGUACACCUGGGGCUGAGUGAAUGUCACUCAUCUAGGAAGAUUUCAGUUCAACCCAAGGAAGAUCCCAG
Molecule: non-coding RNA, 3139 nt
Organism: Macaca mulatta (Rhesus monkey)
Lineage: Eukaryota; Metazoa; Chordata; Mammalia; Primates; Cercopithecidae
Source: RefSeq, a predicted model, not a curated record